AAGGAUUUAAGUUAAACAAACUAACAACCUUCAAAGUUGUAAAUAAAGARAGCUUUAAGCCUUA
Molecule: transfer RNA, 64 nt
Filed under: Hygrotus impressopunctatus
Lineage: Eukaryota; Metazoa; Arthropoda; Insecta; Coleoptera; Dytiscidae
Description: tRNA-Trp
Source: RNAcentral